Molecule: long non-coding RNA, 5497 nt
Filed under: Daucus carota (carrot)
Lineage: Eukaryota; Viridiplantae; Streptophyta; Magnoliopsida; Apiales; Apiaceae
Description: long non-coding RNA (DCAR_LNC002768)
Source: RNAcentral
CAAACAACCUAGGACAUAAACCAACCAAGCCUAGAAACACAAUACUGGCCACUAACAAAAGAGAGGCGAGAGACUGAACAGAUAAGUAGACAAAUGCAUGAAAAGCUAAAAAGAGACAACUUAAGCAGACUCAUCAUAUGCUUCAAACUGGAGUCCAUACAUGCUGAAGCUGAGAAACUUAAGCAGACUCAUAUGCUUCUUGACCUUAAGCAACCACCAUACGCCAGACACGUUUAACAUGUCCAGAAAAGCUUAUAUUAAGGAUCGAGGAUAAGCAAAAAGUUGAGUUUCUGGAGAUAAUAUGUCCAGAAAAGCUUAUAUUAAGGAUCGAGGAUAAGCAAAAAGUUGAGUUUCUGGAGAUAAUAUGCCUGGUUCAUAUAUUAUUAGUCUUGUAUUCAAGCAGAUAUAUUUGGGCCUCCAGGAGCAGUUACAGAAACCAGUUCCAGUUGGAAAGGAUAAUUUAACUUGGACAUUAUUGAAAAACAAAAACUCUAAACAUUGUCAUCAAGAUCCCUCGAUGAUUGAAGAAUCAACAGAGAUAUUUAGCAAGCUUAACGUUGCUGUCAGGGUGAUGCAUGAGUGUUUUCAUCCUUUCAAGAAUAUGCGGACUGGGAACGAUUUGGUUGAAGACAUUAUUUUCAACAGAAGGUAGAACCAAUUUAUUCAGAAUCUAUGUCCUGCUCAAAGACGUGACAUUGUUUAUCAAUAGUAUAUAUGUAUAAGCUUGUGCUAAUUUUUUUUUAUACCAAGGUAUGAUUCUAAAAGAAGUUACUAGUAUGAUAUCCUUAUAUGCUGAUUAUUAUUAACGUAUUAGCUCACUAUCAAUUUGUUAAAAAUUAUUAUUUCCUGAUUUCUUCUUCUAUUUAUUCGUGAAUGUUUCCUGCCCUUUGCAGAAGUUUGCCUCUUGCCCUGAGUGUGGGUCCCACUAUAUUUCAUCUGAAAUAUAAUAUUGCCUACACAUCAUAUUUUUAGUAACAACUGUAGACUUGGUUGUUUCUAUAUAAAUCAUCUGAGUUUAGAAUCUGAAUAUGUUAAAUUUCUGACUUAAUGCAAUAUCCGGACUCUCAUGUCAAAGUGUCCAGUGGGUGCUUCACUUGUAUCUUAUAGUAUCAUUAUAUGUACUUGAUCUUGAGUUGAUGACUUAAUUAUAGCAAUUAUUAAACUUUGAAAAGUUUGCAUUGUAUGCUGGUCAUUUCAUUUCUGAUGGCUGUGGCGUAUAAUGUGUAUUUACUUGAGGUUUAUAGUCUUUUUCGCAAAUAAUUAUGAUUGGUCUGACAUGAGUAAUAUAUCAGAUCAGAGCAGCACCAUGUAAAUUAUGAGGGGUUCUAUACAAUUCUUCUGGAAAAAAAUGAAGAACUAAUUACAGUGGCUACUGUAAGGUAUGUUAUAUGCUUAAAUUGCCUUGCUGAGUUCCAUUCUCUUCUUCUGAAAAGUUAGUAAUUACCGUUUUCUAAAAACAUUUCUUUCCCUCUGAAUUAGGGUUCUUGGAAAAGAAGUUGCGGAAGUCCCUCUUGUUGCUACUCGUUAUAGUUACCGCCAACGUGGAAUGUGCCACACUUUAAUGAAUGAACUUGAAAAGGUAAGCCUCUCAGAACUUUUUUCUUUUUAACAAUCUGUAAAAGAAUAUUUUCCUAAAGAAUUCUGGAUUUCCAAAAUGAAUUUUUAGAACUCAGCUGGCUGCAUCAGAGUACUGUUUCUUUAUGUCAGCUUUGUCUUUAGUUUUGCUUUCUUAGAAUGCAUUCUAACUAAGAUUUGGAAGAAAGUAGGACAAUUUGAAGGAGAAACAAAGAACAUAAACAAGGGCCAAAGUGGUUUUCCAGUCACCUGAAUGGGAAACAUAUAUCGUAGUAUGUUGUAGUUUUACCUAAUCGCACUUAUCAUCAUUUGCCUGGGUAGUCCAGAUGGAUUCAGGACUGUUAAGAAAUAGAUUCCUAGGUGCGUGGCUAUAAAUUGGUUUUUAAGGUUCAGUAAUGUAAAUGAAUGAAUAUGCAAGGGGUCCUUCUUGCUCAGAACUGGAGCUGUGUUUUUCAGUUAUUAAGAUUAUAUUACUAGGGAUAUAACUCUUCCAAAGUUUGACACCAUUCACAUGAUUUCAUUGAGUUUCAAGUAAAUACCAAAACUCGGGUUUAGAGACCAUAUCUACCAUUUUAGUUGCAAAUUCAGAAAUGUUUAUUAUGAGUAGAUUAUCUCCAAAAGCAAAAAUUGACAAACAAACAUGGAAGAGUAUCGAAUCUCCAAAAAUACUCAUUUAUGUAUUACUCUUCCUUCUCUGUUCUUUCUCCUGACCAACCAUGAUUUUCUCUUCUUUCUCGACACCUCCGUGAGAACAUAGUUAAUACAACACGUAUAUGUAAUAUAUACAUGAUGAUACACAUAAUGGUAUGUGGUUUUCCUUAUAAGGGAUCCGCAUUUUAUGUUGGAGCAUCUGGCAGACUGGCACAUACUUGGUAUUUCCGCUGGUGCUCUCUGAAAAAUGUGAAACAAGGCCUUCAGCCUAACUAUUCUUAAAUUUCACAUGAAAAAAGGUUAUAUAAGUGAAAAACUAUUAGUUCUCCUCUCAAGUGUGGGCAUUAAUAGUGUUGAAAUUAGCAUUUACUCCCUCCGUCCCAAUGGGUUCCUAACAUUGUUGUUGGGCACAUAGUUUAAAAAAAGUGACGAAAGGUAAAGAAAAGAUAAAAAAUGGUGCAAGUUGGUAGGACUUAUUAAUAUUAGUUAAAAAAAAUAUGCUAUUGUAAAAAAUGUUAAGAAAUCCCAAAAUAGAAAGUAUUAAGAAAUUAAUGGGGCGGAGGGUUUAUAUUGUUUCUAGGCGUUAGGUUAAUUAUUGCAACCAAGGUUGAUGACUGAUAUUGAGGCACAUCAUUUGGUGAAAAGAAGAAAAUGUGGAAAUUAGUUGCCAUGUUUCAUGGGUCACCUUAAAAUAAAAGGGUCGGAGCAACUUGACGAGAAUGUGAGCAAGAGCGAGGGGGUGAGGGUAAUGGGGACAUAAAGGGUGGGGUGGGGAGUUAGGGAGAAGUGAAUAAAGACACAGGGACACACACACAUGUUAGGGGGCUGAGGGUAGGAGCUCAUGUAAUUUGAACUCUAUUGUAGUUUUACAAAAAGUGUAAUCUUAAUAUAAUAUCAUUGAAGGCUAAUGUUCUUAGGAAAAUGCACAAUAUGAACAGUGAUAUUUGUGUAUUUUUAUCAGAGCUCUAAACCCCUGGAAUGGACGUAUAGCUGAUUCUUUCUACUUCAUUAUCAUUCUUGGUUACAGGUUCUCAUGCGAUUAGGAGUUCAAAGGGUGAUUUUGCCUGCUGCGCCAAGUGCACUAAACACAUGGAUAUCUUCAUUCGGAUUUUCUAUAAUGCCCAAAUUGGAGAGACAAAUAUAUAUUAGUUGCAAUGUCCUUUCUUUUGAAAGCAGUACAAUGUGCCAGAAAAUCUUGUUGCAUAAUCAGAGCAUAUCAGUUCCAGUUAGUAUGUGCCCUCCCCCCCUCUUUAUAUAUAUAAAAGCAAAUACAUCUAAAUAUUUAAUAGACUAAUGUUUUUGUUUCUGCAAUUUAUGCAGGAAAUGGACAAGAAAUUUGUGAUGAUAGAAUUGGAAAUACUGAUACAAAUUCACCUGGGCUUGGAAAUACUCCUGGUUCAGAAGUAUCUCAAAGAAAUGAUUGAAUGAGAUUUGUAGGUAAUGUUGCCCUAUUUUUGUAGCUUUCAGAACUCAGAAGUAUAGAAUUAUAUAGGUGAAGCUAUAUCUUCAUAAUUAUAAGAAAGGUGACAAAUUUUCAUUUUGAGCUAAAGUUGUAUAGACCUUCAGUUGCUUCUUACUAUUUCUAAUUUUAAAAAUGGAGCAUAAUUUUCUUUGUCCUCAAUUUGCAGCUUUCGUACAUAGUUCUGCUCGACUCCAUUACUAUGAUUAUCUAGAAUCCUGAACAUAUGCAGUACAGACGGUGUUAUUGCACGAGUCUGUUGUUGUAAUGAAAUCAGUCAAGUGCUGAAAGAUUAUAUGGGAUGGCGAUGAUGACCCAGUGCAAUGGCAUCAGCAGGGAUACCGGGCACAUAUAUUAUAGGUAUGUAGCUGGUGCAUUAUGUAUAUGUAUCUUCUUUCUAUGCUACAGUUGUAUUAUGUUAGGUUUUUCUUUGGCAGUGAACUUAGGCUAGUGAAGAAGAGGUCAUUUGUAAACUUAUGUAUAAACAUAAUCUGUGUAGCGCUUUCUUUGUUAAUUUUGGAUUUGAACUACAGCAUAGUGGGAAUUGAUGACAUUGUAACAGAUGUACUUGUAUAUUAUCUGUAUUAGGCUUUUAAAUAGUUAUUGUCUUUAUUUAUCUCGCUCUUGCAUUACGAAUUCAUCUGCAUGUACCCCCCCAGUGGGUGUUCCUUGCAUUUAUCUACUAUUUGAUUUUGACGUUGCUAGGCUACUUUUUGAUAUUCUACUUUCAGUUAAACCGAGUUUAUUGUUAGUGGACGGAAAAUUUUACCUCAACCCUUAGUCUUAGUUUGGUUAUGGUUGCGGUUGUGUAAUUUACAAAACCGAAACUGAAGCAUGAGUUUGGUUAUGGUUGCAUUUGUAUCAUUAAACCAUCUCUACUUGGUAGCUGGUGGGUCAACGGUUUGGUGUUCAUCAUCUGUGCUCGUGGUGAACUGCCCAAAUUUGACGUUGAGUUAGAAAAUAGUUCCCGCAAUGUUUUAAGGGCUAAACGGCUCACUGCACAUUUACAGGAGGGUUAUCAAGUUGAAAAAACUUGGUCAACUAGUUAAACAUCAACAACUCAAGUUGCUGACUAGUGAUAAAUCCCCAACUCAUUUUAACCUUUAUUAUCUUUACCAUAUUUAAUCUUGGCUUGGUAUCGUCGUACCAUUAUGAGCCUAAUAGUGUUUUUUUUGAUAAGCAACAUAGUAAAUAUAUUAUGAAUCUCUGAAUGUCUUACAACCUGAGCCACCAAAAGAUUACACAGCUUUGGCUUACAACACUAGCCUAAACAUCCAAACAACCUAGGACAUAAACCAACCAAGCCUAGAAACACAAUACUGGCCACUAACAAAAGAGAGGCGAGAGACUGAACAGAUAAGUAGACAAAUGCAUGAAAAGCUAAAAAGAGACAACUUAAGCAGACUCAUCAUAUGCUUCAAACUGGAGUCCAUACAUGCUGAAGCUGAGAAACUUAAGCAGACUCAUAUGCUUCUUGACCUUAAGCAACCACCAUACGCCAGACACGUUUAACAUGUCCAGAAAAGCUUAUAUUAAGGAUCGAGGAUAAGCAAAAAGUUGAGUUUCUGGAGAUAAUAUGUCCAGAAAAGCUUAUAUUAAGGAUCGAGGAUAAGCAAAAAGUUGAGUUUCUGGAGAUAAUAUGCUUAAGGCUCCACCACCUUCCAACAAAGUCCCAUGCUCAGGUCGCGGGGAGAAAAUGUGACUUGCCGGUAAACCCACACCAGGGACAACUAGUAGUAUCAAUAUUCUUGAGCCUAUCAUUGAGGAAGGAUUUAGACCGCUAAAUUCCCCAAGCAAGUUUCCAAAGGAACG